Molecule: ribosomal RNA, 274 nt
Filed under: uncultured bacterium
Lineage: Bacteria
Description: partial 16S ribosomal RNA
Rfam family: Bacterial small subunit ribosomal RNA
Source: RNAcentral
AUACGGAGGGUGCAAGCGUUAAUCGGAAUUACUGGGCGUAAAGGGCGCGUAGGCGGUCUAUCAAGUCAGGUGUGAAAUCCCACGGCUCAACCGUGGAGGUGCAUCUGAAACUGAUAGACUUGAGUAUGGGAGAGGAAAGUGGAAUUCCCGGUGUAGAGGUGAAAUUCGUAGAUAUCGGGAGGAACACCAGUGGCGAAGGCGACUUUCUGGACCAAUACUGACGCUGAGGCGCGAAAGCGUGGGGAGCAAACAGAAUUAGAAACCCUAGUAGUCC